GAUGAACGCUGGCGGCGUGCCUAAUACAUGCAAGUCGAGCGAACAGACGAGGAGCUUGCUCCUCUGACGUUAGCGGCGGACGGGUGAGUAACACGUGGAUAACCUACCUAUAAGACUGGGAUAACUUCGGGAAACCGGAGCUAAUACCGGAUAAUCUAUUGAACCGCAUGGUUCAAUAGUGAAAGACGGUUUUGCUGUCACUUAUAGAUGGAUCCGCGCCGCAUUAGCUAGUUGGUAAGGUAACGGCUUACCAAGGCAACGAUGCGUAGCCGACCUGAGAGGGGGGUCGGCCACCCUGGAGCUUAGACGCGGUCCAGACUCCUACGGGAGGCAGCAGAAGGGAAUCUUCCGCAAUGGGCGAAAGCCUGACGGAGCAACGCCGCGUGAGUUAUGAAGGUCUUCGGAUCGUAAAACUCUGUUAUUAGGGAAGAACAAAUGUGUAAGUAACCGUGCACGUCUUGACGGUACCUAAUCAGAAAGCCACGGCUAACUACGUG
Molecule: ribosomal RNA, 497 nt
Filed under: uncultured bacterium
Lineage: Bacteria
Description: partial 16S ribosomal RNA
Rfam family: Bacterial small subunit ribosomal RNA
Source: RNAcentral